RNAcentral lists this ribosomal RNA (444 nucleotides) under uncultured bacterium. RNAcentral's name for it is "bacterial SSU rRNA". It matches the Rfam family "Bacterial small subunit ribosomal RNA", at positions 330 to 792 of the family's 1533-position model. The record is from RNAcentral.
GCCAGACUCCUACGGGAGGCAGCAGUGGGGGAUAUUGCACAAUGGGGGAAACCCUGAUGCAGCAACGCCGCGUGUGGGAAGAAGGUUUUCGGAUUGUAAACCACUGUUCUUGGUGAAGAUAAUGACGGUAACCAAGGAGAAAGCUCCGGCUAACUCCGUGCCAGCAGCCGCGGUAAUACGGAGGAUGCGAGCGUUAUCCGGAUUUAUUGGGUUUAAAGGGUGCGCAGGCGGAGGUGCAAGUCAGCGGUCAAAUUGCGGGGCUCAACCCCGUACUGCCGUUGAAACUGCAUCCCUUGAGUGCGCGAGAAGUAUGCGGAAUGCGUGGUGUAGCGGUGAAAUGCAUAGAUAUCACGCAGAACUCCGAUUGCGAAGGCAGCAUACCGGCGCGCAACUGACGCUCAUGCACGAAAGCGUGGGUAUCGAACAGGAUUAGAUACCCCAGUA